RNAcentral lists this small nucleolar RNA (92 nucleotides) under Nipponia nippon (crested ibis). Its description in RNAcentral is "Small nucleolar RNA SNORD35". It matches the Rfam family "Small nucleolar RNA SNORD35". Rfam says of the family: U35 is a C/D box snoRNA located in intron 6 of ribosomal protein L13A and intron 3 of ribosomal protein S11 in humans and at homologous positions in mouse and chicken ribosomal protein genes. The record is from Rfam by way of RNAcentral. Lineage: Eukaryota; Metazoa; Chordata; Aves; Pelecaniformes; Threskiornithidae.
CGGUGGUGAUGUCUAAACUCACGAUGGUCUUCAGAGCCCCUGCUGUGGAGGGGGCUGCUGACAACGCCGGUGGCAGUCGCUGAACCGUAGGA